RNAcentral lists this non-coding RNA (23 nucleotides) under Arabidopsis thaliana (thale cress). Lineage: Eukaryota; Viridiplantae; Streptophyta; Magnoliopsida; Brassicales; Brassicaceae. The record is from RNAcentral.
GAGAGAGCCCAUAUUUGUCUUGC